GCUAUUUACUCACACAAACGAGUGGAAAGCUAAGAAAAAAAAGAGGAUCAAAGCAACUGCUUUUGCACCAAACUGAAAGAAAGAAUUUGUUUAUUUUAUCAACUCACAGCAGUCGUUUCCACAACUGCGCUGUGAAAGCGCUUCCUUUUGUUGUUCUGCACCAGAAAGGGCUGAAACUUGAGACAAAAGGCUGCAACGAAAACCUGCAAGAGUUACAAGGCUUGUGUGUGUGUGUGUGUGUGUGUGUGCACGCAUGGAGGGUUAAGUGUCGAAGAUCCUCUGUGCACGAUCACGGCCGCGGGCACGGAGCCAAAAUGGCCUCAUGUUUCGCAGAUGGGGCGAGGCGGAUGAGGGUUUCAGACGCAUUGCCUCACCCAGAAGCCCCAGGCUAAAAAGCUGCAACGAGCUGGAAUCGGACCAGAUGAGGAGAGAGGUGGGGGUGGAGAGGAAUCUGAACUGCCGGGGACACUCCUACAUGUUUCAAAAUCUUUUAAAAAACACUUUUACCUCAGGGGAUUUUGGCAUCCAGAUUCAUCUUUUCCUUUCAUGUAAAACGUCUGACUCAACUCUGAAGCCAUUAAUCCCUUUUUCAUUUUGACAACAAGCGUUUGUUGAUUCCAGGCGUCUGCUAGUAAAACAUCUGUUUAAUGAAA
This is a long non-coding RNA of Austrofundulus limnaeus, 653 nucleotides long. RefSeq lists it as uncharacterized. Lineage: Eukaryota; Metazoa; Chordata; Actinopteri; Cyprinodontiformes; Rivulidae. The record is from RefSeq and is a predicted model, not a curated record. The transcript is spliced from 2 exons.